GACGAACGCUGGCGGCGUGCCUAACACAUGCAAGUCGAACGGAACUGUUUUGAAAGAUUUCUUCGGAAUGAAUUUGAUUUAGUUUAGUGGCGGACGGGUGAGUAACGCGUGAGUAACCUGCCUUCAAGAGGGGGAUAACAUUCUGAAAAGAAUGCUAAUACCGCAUGACAUAUCGGAAUCACAUGAUUUUGAUAUCAAAGAUUUUAUCGCUUGAAGAUGGACUCGCGUCCGAUUAGUUAGUUGGUGAGGUAACGGCUCACCAAGACCGCGAUCGGUAGCCGGACUGAGAGGUUGAACGGCCACAUUGGGACUGAGACACGGCCCAGACUCCUACGGGAGGCAGCAGUGGGGGAUAUUGCGCAAUGGGGGCAACCCUGACGCAGCAACGCCGCGUGAAGGAUGAAGGUUUUCGGAUUGUAAACUUCUUUUAUUAAGGACGAAAAAUGACGGUACUUAAUGAAUAAGCUCCGGCUAACUACGUGCCAGCAGCCGCGGUAAUACGUAGGGAGCAAGCGUUGUCCGGAUUUACUGGGUGUAAAGGGUGCGUAGGCGGCUUUGCAAGUCAGAUGUGAAAUCUAUGGGCUCAACCCAUAAACUGCAUUUGAAACUGUAGAGCUUGAGUGAAGUAGAGGCAGGCGGAAUUCCCCGUGUAGCGGUGAAAUGCGUAGAGAUGGGGAGGAACACCAGUGGCGAAGGCGGCCUGCUGGGCUU
RNAcentral lists this ribosomal RNA (711 nucleotides) under uncultured Lachnospiraceae bacterium. RNAcentral describes it as "bacterial SSU rRNA". It matches the Rfam family "Bacterial small subunit ribosomal RNA", at positions 28 to 736 of the family's 1533-position model. The record is from RNAcentral. Lineage: Bacteria; Bacillati; Bacillota; Clostridia; Lachnospirales; Lachnospiraceae.